AACGAACGCUGGCGGCAGGCCUAACACAUGCAAGUCGAGCGCCCCGCCAGGGGAGCGGCGGCCGGGUGAGUAACGCGUGGGAACGUACCCUUUGCUACGGAAUAGCCUCGGGAAACUGGGAGUAAUACCGUAUGUGUCCUUCGGGAGAAAGAUUUAUCGGCAAGGGAUCGGCCCGCGUUGGAUUAGGUAGUUGGUGGGGUAAUGGCCUACCAAGCCGACGAUCCAUAGCUGGUUUGAGAGGAUGAUCAGCCACACUGGGACUGAGACACGGCCCAGACUCCUACGGGAGGCAGCAGUGGGGAAUCGUAGACAAUGGGCGCAAGCCUGAUCUAGCCAUGACGCGUGAGCGAUGAAGGCCUUAGGGUUGUAAAGCUCUUUCAGGGGGGAAGAUAAUGACUGUACCCCCAGAAGAAGCCCCGGCUAACUCCGUG
Molecule: ribosomal RNA, 431 nt
Filed under: uncultured bacterium
Lineage: Bacteria
Description: partial 16S ribosomal RNA
Rfam family: Bacterial small subunit ribosomal RNA
Source: RNAcentral